UACGGGGGGGGCAAGCGUUGUUCGGAAUUACUGGGCGUAAAGGGCUCGUAGGCGGCCAACUAAGUCGGACGUGAAAUCCCCAGGCUCAACCUGGGAACUGCGUCCGAUACUGGAUGGCUUGAGUUUGGGAGAGGGAUGCGGAAUUCCAGGUGUAGCGGUGAAAUGCGUAGAUAUCUGGAGGAACACCGGUGGCGAAGGCGGCAUCCUGGACCAACACUGACGCUGAGGAGCGAAAGCCAGGGGAGCAAACGGG
Molecule: ribosomal RNA, 253 nt
Filed under: uncultured bacterium
Lineage: Bacteria
Description: partial 16S ribosomal RNA
Rfam family: Bacterial small subunit ribosomal RNA
Source: RNAcentral